Molecule: long non-coding RNA, 1289 nt
Organism: Rhododendron vialii
Lineage: Eukaryota; Viridiplantae; Streptophyta; Magnoliopsida; Ericales; Ericaceae
Exons: 2
Source: RefSeq, a predicted model, not a curated record
AAACCUUCAAUUUUUGCCGCCCAUCCCCUCAGUUCCCACUUCCCACCCACACACCACGACCCUCUAUGUCACCCACUCUCUCAUCUGCCAUAACCAUAACUACUUUCUUUUCUUUUCACUCCUCCCUAUCUCUUUCACAAAAGCUCUGCCUCACGGAACCACCGAAAUCACUCCCCCACACCACUACAAACCUCCCAUAUAACUGCCCCGUCCCGCAAAAAUCAAUCCCGCCUUAUUCUCUUCCCGUCUCACGAACACCCCUCUCCGUCUCCCUCUAUCGCCAGCAGCAACAACCAAUCCACACCGGGCAGGCCUGGAUCCCGUUGGAAACGCCUGUUUGGAGCCUUGCUGCCUUUAACAUGGCAUUCAGGCAAUAUCCAAUUUCGAAAAUUCAUGCAGUUCACUAUUGCUGCCAUGUUCUCUCUCUCUCUCUCUCUCUCUCUCUCUCUCUCUCUCUACGUGUUUCAGUCAUUGAUUUCUCUGUACUUUGCAAUAUAUCGGGUAUAGGUGUUCCUUGCAUUCAAGGUGUUUGAGAAAAUGCAUCAUCAAACCGAGCUUUUUUAUGUUCUUCUCCGAUGCUCAACUUUGUUUUGAAUUCAGAUGGUCCUAAUUCAAUCCACUGUAUGUCUAAUUUUUUUUGCCAAUGAAUGGGAUUGUGGUAGAUUUUUUUUGUCCUUGAAUUAGUUUUAAAUCGCUUUCAGAAACCUAUUUUCAAACUCUGGAUUUUCUUUUGAAUUUCGUUAUUGCAGGAUACUUAAUUGGAUUUUGUGAUGCACCAUAGCCACAACCACGACGUGCUCUUCUGAACCCAACCCAACCGUGACCGCAAGGAGACGCUUAUGAAUGUCAAGGCAUGCCUUUUGACACCGGCCUCGAUUUGUCCAAGUACGCGGAUCGUAAUUGUUGCAGUGCAUUGGAAAAUUAUAACAAAAACAAUAAUUGUGACUUCUGGCCCUAUAAUGUAAAAGAAAGGUGUGCUGAGUUGCUUCGAUCCCGGUGAUCUGAUCGAGUUGGGCCUUGAUCGAGAGAUUGGAUGAACACAUAGUAGGAGAGAAGGUGAUCCAUGGAGUCCAUAUUUUUCCAACUUGGACAGUGUGAAUUGUGAAGGUUUCGCAUUCGUUCAUGGGGGAUUCGUCUUCAAUUGAUUAUAUCUUUGUAAUAUAUAUGAGGUUGUAGGUGAUUUCGAAAACUUUGUUUAAUAGUACUGAUCGAGAGCUAUCGAACAAGAUAUAUAUUGCAUAUAAUCGAUUUACUAUCCGGUUAAUUAGAAUGGAAAGAGGGACUAAGAA